Cygnus olor (mute swan) is the source of this 2660-nucleotide long non-coding RNA. RefSeq lists it as uncharacterized. The transcript is spliced from 7 exons. NCBI's taxonomy places the organism in Eukaryota, Metazoa, Chordata, Aves, Anseriformes, Anatidae. The record is from RefSeq and is a predicted model, not a curated record.
ACCCAUGGUUAGCACAGGCCUGGAGAUGUUAAUGGAAGGCAGCUGCCUAUCUACUGCAGUUCUCUGCCCCCACCUCAUUUUCCCUUGUUUGAAGUCCCUCUCUGACCAGCUUCCUGAGGAGCCAGGCCCGGAUUACCAACUUUCCUCAGACCCUGAAGGUACAGGACACUUCUGAAGUCUCGAGGCAAUGUAAUUAAUCAGCUAUAUGGAGAGAUGGAGUCCAGUUAAACUAUCAGCCACUACUGGCGAUCUGCAGUGGAGCCAUACUGAUCCUGCAGUACGUGAGGCAGAACUCCCUGUAUGAGCCAUUAAAAGAAGUCAGAUCCUGCUGAGGAGGAGAGCUCAGCUCAGUAAUCACCGUGAAGGUGUUCAGGAAGUUUGAGGAAGUGGGAUAAUAUGAAAUUCCAUAAAGUGCAAAGCAAUGUAGAGAACAAGACAAAUAAAAGAAGACAACAGAUUAUUUUUGCAUUGAUGAAGUCAUGAGUUCUUCCCUGGACCUUCCAUAUCUCCUUUGAUCAAGCUUCCUAGACCUCUCCCCUGAAAUGUGGCAUCUGAUCUGGUUAAAGUUAGAUAUAUAAACUCCCUGUCACUCUCAGAGCUCUUCCCAGCUAUGCAGCUGCCUGUCAAGGAAUACACAACCCACUGCAAGUAUCUUCUAAGUGCACCUGAAACUGCACCAAACCCCAGAGGACAAAGGCAGGUUACAAGUGCAACAUGCUUAGAGGAUGCCAGGCUUCUUCCUGUCGAGCUGAGAUGGUCUGAAAACCACAUUGAAACAUGGGAAAUUGCAGCUACCACAGAUGGCAGAUGAGGGGUUUUUUGCAGGCUGUAGAUCUCUCCUGCCACUCCCCUCGUGGCUGGUAACGGUUGCACGAAGGUAAUGAAUGGAUGGAGGCUGGCAAAGCCAAGAGUCGGUGUGCUGUUGUGGGACUGGGGUGAAUGGACUAUGAUGAUACUGCUGAAUAGGAAUACUUGUGGAGCUAAUACAAACAAUUUGUAAUUGUCAGAGCUGAAAAGUAAAAACAUGAUUAUAAACUGUGCAUAGGAUCAGCUUAUGUCAGCUUUAAAUGAUUUAAAAGUCUAGUGUCUGGAGCUGCAUCUUACUUGCCUGCAAAACUCCUUAAAGAAGACUUACAUAACCAUACAAGCAUGUCUCUCCCUUCUUGUGUAUUUAUUGUGAAAACUAACCCUUUGUCUAGCUGACAGAAGACGUAUUUUUAGGACAGAUGUGAAACAAAGCCUUCUGGAUACAUCAGAAGAUAGGGAUUUUCUUGAUUUAAAUAGAAGAGACACUUGCUUGGUCACAGUAACUCUUUCAGAAAGUGCUGGUUAUCCUUGUUUUAUGCAGGAAGAGACUCUGAAUAACUAGGUGCUAAUGCAGCCUACAGCACCUUGGUCAGCUGGUGGCUUUGUGCUGUGCCAGGCUUGGAAGCUGUUUCUGGGUGGAAGCGGUGCAAAUUUGUAAAAGAUGCAAACUUCCCUGAGACAAGGGAAGGAGCAUAAGAAAGCCUCUUCUGUUACCUAGAGCCUACCGUCAUUAUGCCUGACCUGAACUCAUUAUCCCUUGGUAUCUACAGCAGACGGUGACCUUUGAUGGCACUGAACCACAGUAUGUGAGGAGAUGCCUUCCUGGUAAUUUUGUCUCCCGAGUGCCAAAUGUGGAAGCUUCCUCACUCCAUGUCCAGGCUUCCUCUACACCAACGCAUGCAAAAAUAUUAAAAUGCUACUAAAUACUACUAAGCAACACUGUUUAGGUGCUGGGUUGCAUUUCUGAUAUUGCUGCAAGUGCCUCUAUCUUCCUAUCACCUAGGAGUCUGGAGUAGGCUGGAAGCAACUAAUUUACCAUGUAAUAAGAUAGGAUCCUGUUGACAUAAGUCAAGGGCAAAACUAUUAAGUCAUUACGUCUAAUGUUGUAACAUUCUGAUACAAAGGCAUGGCUUGGGCCUUUCAGAUGUGCAUCUGACCUUUGAGGAUUAAGUUUCUUCGCAGUUUAUUGUUAGUUCUGAAAAUGUCUUUUUUUUCCCCUUCUGUUUCACAUACAUUGAUCUUUGGCCCUGUGCUAGUACAGCUUGCAUAUCUGCUCCUGAAGUCCUGAUUUGCUGCAGUUUCAUCAGAGGAAGUAAUGAUAGAAAAGGUGUCAUGUUCUUAAUCCAGCAAUGCUGAGAAUGCAUCACAUUUUGCUUUUCUUAGCACUGCCCAUAUCAUGACUUGGCCCAUGGGGUUGCAGGCAGAAAGGAGAAGUAAUAGAAGUGGCUGUCAGGAUUCUUGCACAAAGCAGAGAAAGUGAGGAUUGCUCGUAUCAAUUUAUCUAGGUGUCAUUUAAAUAUAUAUACUAUAAACCUGCCUUGCUCUAGCCCUGUGUUAUUUUGUAAAGCCAACUUUUUUUCAAAUCUAACAGUUUUGCCAAUUAGCCAGAUGAUAAUUUCAACCAUUUUACCCUCCGGCACAGCAGUAGGUUUGCACUUGUUCCAAUUUCAUUGCACAGGCAAGGGAAAUGCAGUUGGACUGUAGAAUUUGCCUUGCUGUUGUGAUUAUCAUCUCUUAAGAUAGAUUCACUUAAUGUCAACUUCGUAGACCUGUUUAGCCCUAAAACUUUUGGCUUAAUGCUUUCCAUUUUAUGAGUCAGUCUUUGAAAUAAAGAGACAAGAGAUGUUCUCACU